AAUUGAUUUGGGUACCAUGCAUUAAAAAAAAUAAGUAAAACUUCGUGAAGGGUAAAAAAAAAGGAAGUUGUACAAAUAAUUAACAAAGAAGCAAGCCUUCACUUAUUUGCUUCAAUAAACUCUCUAUACUCUCUCUUCAUUUUAACACCUGAUACCGUCCUGAGCAUCUCCUUGUUCUUGAAAAACUGUACACAUGGAGUACCCAUAAUCCCAGCUGCCUCAGCAAUCUCUGGAUCUUCAGUAAUAUCAAUUUCAACAAGGUGGACAUCCUUGUCAAAUUCAUCUAUGACCUUGCUAAGAAUCGGUUUCAAGGUCCUACAUGGACCACAUGUUGGUGAUGUAUACAGCACACACAUAAGCCUUGGGCUCUCAUGGUACAAUUUCCGUAAUGCAUACUGGCCCUUGUGCUUUGUAAGUGUUAUAUCAAAACCUUCUUGUACAUCUUUCUCGGAGAGUUCCUUCUUAACUUCUUCAGUAGGGGGCUGGUGGAAUUCAAGAAGAAGAUUUUUGCUUGUCAGAUAUCUCUCAACUGAUAGAGCAGCUACACAUCCUGAGCCAGCUGCAGUGAUGGCUUGCCUCCAUUCAUGAUCCUGGACAUCUCCAGCUGCAAAUACACCUUCCACAGAUGUGUUUGCUGUGCCCUCCUUGACCAAUAUGUAGCCCG
RNAcentral lists this unclassified non-coding RNA (664 nucleotides) under Hevea brasiliensis (rubber tree). Lineage: Eukaryota; Viridiplantae; Streptophyta; Magnoliopsida; Malpighiales; Euphorbiaceae. The record is from RNAcentral.